UCCAGAGAUUAGAGUUUGAUCCUGGCUCAGGAUGAACGCUGGCGGCGUGCCUAAUACAUGCAAGUCGAGCGAAUGGAUUAAGAGCUUGCUCUUAGGAAGUUAGCGGCGGACGGGUGAGUAACACGUGGGUAACCUGCCCAUAAGACUGGGAUAACUCCGGGAAACCGGGGCUAAUACCGGAUAACAUUCUGAACCGCAUGGUUCGAAAUUGAAAGGCGGCUUCGGCUGUCACUUAUGGAUGGACCCGCGUCGCAUUAGCUAGUUGGUGAGGUAACGGCUCACCAAGGCAACGAUGCGUAGCCGACCUGAGAGGGUGAUCGGCCACACUGGGACUGAGACACGGCCCAGACUCCUACGGGAGGCAGCAGUAGGGAAUCUUCCGCAAUGGACGAAAGUCUGACGGAGCAACGCCGCGUGAGUGAUGAAGGCUUUCGGGUCGUAAAACUCUGUUGUUAGGGAAGAACAAGUGCUAGUUGAAUAAGCUGGCACCUUGACGGUACCUAACCAGAAAGCCACGGCUAACUACGUGCCAGCAGCCGCGGUAAUACGUAGGUGGCAAGCGUUAUCCGGAAUUAUUGGGCGUAAAGCGCGCGCAAGUG
This 599-nucleotide ribosomal RNA is filed under the name uncultured Bacillus sp. RNAcentral's name for it is "bacterial SSU rRNA". It matches the Rfam family "Bacterial small subunit ribosomal RNA", at positions 1 to 577 of the family's 1533-position model. The record is from RNAcentral. Lineage: Bacteria; Bacillati; Bacillota; Bacilli; Caryophanales; Bacillaceae.